Molecule: long non-coding RNA, 1915 nt
Organism: Acinonyx jubatus (cheetah)
Lineage: Eukaryota; Metazoa; Chordata; Mammalia; Carnivora; Felidae
Exons: 3
Source: RefSeq, a predicted model, not a curated record
ACUAAGCACAAUAAUUUUAAGCAGUACAUUCAGUUGCAUGCUUUUUACCUAUGUAUGCAUUAUUUAACAAAAUUAAAAAUAAUACAAAAAAUUAAAUGCAAUGUUAUCAAAGAAGACAUGGUAAUACAACAGAAGUAAAUGUUAAAAAGAAGAAAUUGAAUUAGGAACAAAAUGGGAACAAAAAUACAUAAAAGUCCUAAUACAGGCAACAGUUUAUAAAAAUAUCCUAAACAUCUGAAUUAACAAUUUGAAUUAAAAGUUUGAGGAAAAUCACCCAAGAGAAAUAAAAAGAUCAAAUCACACAAUAUAAGGAAAAAGACUGAGCUAUAGUAACAUGAAAUAUUACAGACAUGAAGAGCAAACAGAAAUCUAGGGUAAACACUACCAGUAUCUUUAACAAAAUAAUUUAUGCAUUAAAUAGAUAUGACUGAAGAUAUAAUUCAGUCAACACAAAACAAACCUUAAUAAAAACAGCUUGAAAAAGGAGAAGGAAAAUAAUAAAAUACUGGCUGUAAUUAUGGGAUUAAUGAAGUUAAAGAUGGAAUUUAAAACUUUAAAAAGUGAAGUUAGUUGUAGAAGUAUAAACAGAAUUUUUGAAAUGUAAAUUACCUAAUGUAAAAGUAGUUUGUCGAUGAAAGCAUGUAUGAAUCCUCCCAUAACCCUCCAGGAAGAAGAGGAGUUUCAGGUGGACAGGGAGAAAAGGCAUCUGCUUUGUUCUUUAAGGGAUUUGUGAUAUUAGGUUUUGCUUAGUGUCUCCAUCCAUGACUUCUCUCUUCUAUAUUAUUCUUUUUAUCACAAAGGAGGAGGUUACAAACAAAUGCCCCAGUAUCGUUUUUAAUGUUUUUAAUGUUUACUUCUAGUUUAGCAUCUGUCAGUGAGAAGAACUUGCUGAAGAGGCAGGCAAAAGCCCUUAUUUCAUUGGCAGUUACAGGCAGCCACAGGCAGUCACACAGCAGGCUCUUGUGGUCACCCAAUCAGGUGCUACAGGAAGCUAAGCUACUUGGUGGCAGUUUUCCUGCUAUUCUUGAAAUUCCAAACAGUUGCAAGUAAACUACUUCUGUUCUGCAGGCAGCAGGGAUGCUAGAGAGUGACUUUAGUAAGAGUGUUAAGAGUCUUUGGUGGCACCAGCAGCCCAAAUGACCUGCUGCCCUCACUGUCCACCCUAUUCACACUUCCAGUGCGGUUGUCAGUCCAGACUUGACUCAAGAAUCAGUGUACAAAGGACUUAGACCAUGGAAAAUAAAGGGGAACAUUCAGAUUGAGGAAAAAGAAUUCAACUUUAAUAGAACAUUUCUGAGAUUUAUGCUGCCUUCCAGAAACAGGAAGAAUUGAUAUUUCGCUCCACUGAAUUUUCAAAUUCAGUUUACACCUCUUUUGGAGUAUCUUCAAUUUUGUAUUAUUAUUAUGUAUUUAUCUGCUUGAGUCUUCCUUUAAACCUGUAAGUACUUGGGAGAAGUAAGCUUUUUCUCUUAUUUUUGUGUAUAUGUUGCUUAACACAGAGCUUGGUACAUAGUAGACACAAUUAAAUAAAACUGCCAAAUAAAUAAAUAAAUAUUAAUAUAGUUGAGAAUACCUUAAUUAAUAUAUCACAACAUGGAUGGAUCAAAUGAUUAAAUACCAUGCCAGCUUGGGUGCCGCCAUGAAGCAGAAUUAGAAGUGUAAGAAAUUUAGGGGCACCUGGGUGGCUCAGUUGGUUGAGCUUCCAACUUCGGCUCAGGUCAUAAUCUCGCAGUUCAUGAGUUCCGACCCCAUGUUGGGCUCUGUGCUAACAGCUCAGAGCCUAGAGGCCGCUUCAGAUUCUGUCUUCCUGUCUCUCUCUCUGUCCCUUCACCUACUCAUACUGUCUCUCUGUCAAAAAUAAAUAAACAUAAAAAAAGUAUAAGAAAUUUACUGAGGAAAAGUCCUAGGAAGGACA